Long non-coding RNA from Mus musculus (house mouse), 5837 nucleotides. RefSeq annotates it as predicted gene 9909. NCBI's taxonomy places the organism in Eukaryota, Metazoa, Chordata, Mammalia, Rodentia, Muridae. The record is from RefSeq and is a predicted model, not a curated record. The transcript is spliced from 3 exons.
GGGUUUUUUUUUUUUUUUUUUUUGGUAAAUCUUGGACUUCUGGGUUUAUCUUUGGGAACUUAGAAAACAGAAACUUCCCUAAAGAUCUCAUUAUCUGUGAAGUUCCACAUCAGUCAGCACUUUUUUCUGUUGAUUCACACUUCUUCCAGGAUGCUCCUUACACAGUAAAUUAGGAGGUGUGGUGCAGGUGAUCACAGUUUUAUCUUUAGAUUGAUUUGCAUAGUCAAACCAGACUUGAAAGGGCUGAGGCUUUGAAGGCUGAUAGACUGCUCAGAGAACAAGGCGAGAGGCCAUACUUUAUUCUGAGAACCCAGAGAGGUCAGCAGCGACUGUCUCCCACUGUCUCCCCAACACCCACUGUCUCCCCAACACACCAUCCUCUCAAGGAACAGAGGAUCCCACACUUUGCAUUUUUGUGUAAGCUAUCCUUUUAGCUCUAGGAUGCUGGGUAUUUAGCAUGAUCAGAAACUGAAGGGCGAUACCAAAUGACAACAGUGGAUUUUUUUCCAGCCAAGGUUGCUGACUGCUUCAUGAUGUGGCUUCACCUCCCAGGGUGCACAGCACAGGGUGUCAUGAUGCAACUGUUUAAGUAUCCAGCUGUUGGUGAAGCUCCCAGUCCUGGCAGGCUUCAGGCUUGGAGUUACAAGGGGUCAGAUCAAGGAGAGUUGUUUACUAGCCCUCCUCCAACCCACAUGCCCUGCUUAUACUUAGAAUGUCAAACUCAUAGUUCAGUAAGUGCUUAAACAGAGAAUGUGUGUAUCUGAACAGUGAAAGAACUCCUCUCACCUUAACCCUAUGUGUGCUCUCAGAUACCAGAGUACCUCACUAGCACUCAUAAGCAAGAAGGAUGCUCUGUGACCAGGCACUAUGACCUGUCCACAUCAUCAAGAGGCCCAGCCACCAUUACUACUGCCUCGGCAUUGAGUCAUCGCUUGGUUGUCCCUGUCUGAAACUGGAGACACAGCUUGGACUUAAUGAGUGUAUGAUAACCACAGGGUGUGAGCAAGCCUAUGUUUACUGAGAGCAGCCUGUAUAGGAACCUCAUAGGAAGACAGUACCCAGAUAGCUUCCGUAGUGGAAACGCCCAGAAAGUCUACAUGGGAGACAAUGUUCAGGAACAAAUAAGCCAGAAGGAUAAGAAGACUCCAACAAUUCGCCUCAUGGACCAACAGGCAGCUCAGUAACUUCUUCCCAAGCUCCCAUGCAUGCUUUCCAUCUGGCUCUUGACAUGAAGCGUGAACGAAGAAAUGAGAAGGAAGAAAUGAAAUGAAGAUAAGCCUUGCCAAGUGCUGCUCUGUGUGCCUGACAAUGGCGCACUCCAAGUAUGGGGACCUCCAACCUCUGACCAAUUAGGUUUACAUGUGGACUCAAGCAUCAGAGUUCAAAAGGUCUCUCACUAGCUUGGAAUUUGAUUAAGCUACGCUGGUUGGCCAGUCAGCUCUGGCUCUGUGAGUCCCUGCAGUACUGAGAUUACAAACUCAAAUGAGCUCCUUUCUUCCUGGAAGACACAGCAUCUCCUUAGUAGUGGACAUAAAGCUCUCUGCCACUUGUGACUGCUGCAGGCCAGCCACAGCAUCCAGGUACUGAGGCAGGCAGUGAAGAGUGGUGUUGGUGAUUACAGGGGCAAUAGCAGCAAUUGCUGGGGCUAAAAUAGCUUACUUUGAAUACAUUUUCUCUAUUUUCAACAGUCUGCUAUUCUAAGACCAAAAGCCUCUGGCUUCUGGUAACUAACUCCAGCUGAUAGCAGCAAGGGAUUAAGAAAAAAAGGUUUAACUCUUUUCUCUUUGGCUCAAAGGCCCCUGGGUGGUCAGGCAAGAGGCUUGGAGCUCAGUACUUCUCCAUGAACUGGAGAGAAAAGAGAAGGAAAGAAAGAAAAUCAUUUACACAAAUAACAUGCACACACACACUCACACUGUGGUCAGGCCUGACCACCUGUCUCAUCAACUGCACAAGUGCACAUGCAUACUUAUAGACAUACAAAGGUACCUACAUACAAAUCGACAGACAGAUACAUAAUACAUUUGUUGAAUGAAACUGAGCCCCAGAUGCCACACUUUAUUCCUUCUCUCUGGCCUUCUUAUACCUUCUUGGACAAAAGUUCUUUAUAAAAUUACCUCAGAGAUAAAAUGUUAUGCAAAGGGGGAAUUACAGAAAGAUAUCCAUAGAAAGUUCAAAGCAGUGUUUCACUCUAUAAACUCACUAUAAGUUCAAAGCAACAGAUUCACGUGGCCUUGCUUUAUCACAGCACACACCUAUGGCCUCAUCCUUGGACCUGACCUAGAAUGAAUGCUUUCCUUGAUCACAAAUUUGUCCCAACCCUAUAUCUGUUCUUGGUGUAAUUUAUGAAAGCUCAUUGUAUUCCUUAUUAUGCAGCCUUUCUAUUCUUCAUUCUAACUUUAUUAUAUCUUUUUGGCAAAACAACUAAAAAAAACCAUGUCCUUAAAUUUUCUUCUUAAAAUUAUUUGAGUCAAAUCAGGAAUGUUUUAAUGUAAUUAAUUCACCUAGACAGCAUUAAUUCAUGAAAGUUCAUCUUCAUAUUGAUUUGCAGAAAUUUACUCAACAGAAUGGGUUGAUCCCCAGGAAUCAUUAGACUAUGUCAUGGUGACAGGAAAAGGCAUAUCAGCAGCAAGAAGCAAUCCUGGGAUGAAGUCUCUAAGGACCCUACAUCUCAAAGCUCACCCACUGCAGUCCAUGCAAAACAAUGUACUAUCUCCACAAAGUUCACUGGCACAUCUUAUCCUUUUCUAGAUGGCUUCUAACAGGGGGAUAGGUAAACCAAAAUGGCAUGGCUUUGGUCUUUGUGCCACCAUGGAGUGGGUGGUGGUGGGUGGCAGCCCAGCAACAUAGCGCAUGCAAUUUUAAGUCCUUGUGGCCAUCUGACUUUAAAAAUGGGGCUUAUAGAGGGAGUGUCCACAGCAAGGGCCAAAAUAGCUCUGCCAACUGCUGGUCCAAUAUAUUCACUAUCCUCUUCCUUCUAUUAGAGUCAGGAUCUGGUUGAGCAAGGAAAUUUGUUCCAUCCAGACAGGGCUAGACUUCUGUAGCACAGGACUGUCACCAAGCCAAAUAGCCAUCAUUCUCAGAAGUUUAAUGAGGUCUGAUCACCAAAGAUCAUCCCAGCUACUCACAUAGAAAGGGUGAAGAGGGUUAUGGGAAUCCUCAGUAUCCAGUAUCUCUCUCCUAGUCAGCUGCAUGCAAUUCUGCCCCAAUUUUACAUGCCCUCAGGGCCUAGGGGACUUAGAGGAGAGAGUAGCGAACGCCACCAUCCCUGCUGAGUGAAGACUGGUCCUUCUGAGGAGCAGAGAUCACUGGUAGUCCUAUGAAUAACCUUCAUUUAUGCUCUUGCCUGAUAAACUCACUGGUGCUCCACGGUGAACGUCAAUGGGGUGGAUGUCUAUGCCUCCUCCAUGUAAGGAAUUUCAGCAAUAAUUUUCCGGCAUUCUAUGAGUUAGAUAUCGGUCAGCAGAAGCACAGACCCUGAGGCUGGAGAGAUGGUUCAGUGGAUAUUUUCUUGCUAUAGAGGCAUGAAGACCUGAGUUUGGAUUCCCAAGGCAUAUAUAUACACACCUUCACUGCACACCUGUAAACCCAGAACUGGAGAAGUGGGGACAGUAGAAUCCCUGGAUCUUACUGGCCAGACAUUUUAGUUAAAUCUGUGUGCUCAAACCCAAAAGAUAUUCUAUUCCAUAAAUCGAAACUGGAGAGCAACUGAAGAGAACACCUGAGGUAAGCUGCUGGGCUCAACAACAUGCACACCUGCACACAAACACAUACAGAGGUGCAUGCACCAGGUACGUGCAUAAAAUGCAAAAGAAACAAAACCUUAUUAGCUCUGGAGCCAGCAUCCUGGGUUCUCCUGUCUAGCUUGCUCUAUUAUAAGGAACAGAUGUGACUAAAGGGAACUAGUUUGAUUGGUUUGAGCCUCAACUACUUUUCUGGUAAGAUGCAGGCUUCCUAUCAGGUUUAUUGUCAGGGCUACAAGAAAGGAACACUGCUAAGCACUCGACGAAUAUUAGCUAUGUACAUCAUUGCUGUGAUUUCAACUUCAAAGAUCAGUGAUUGAGACAGAAAAGAGCCUUAGAAGAGGCUGACAUAGCUUCUUACUUCACUCUUGUUACCGCUAACAACACUAAGGAGAUGGCUGGAGUUGUAACAGUAUGAUAGCAUUGAGAACAGAAAUGUAUGGACAGACAUUCAUUUACAUCAGCAGCAGCCAAAGCUGCAGAGUGUAGAGAGACAGAUGAACAGUUAACAAAAGAGUGUGCUCAUGCUAUGGAAUGCUACUCAGACUUGAAAAGAGGGAAAUUCUGACACAUGGUAAAUACAGAUUUAAAAAAAAAAUCCUGGAAACAUCAUAUCACGUGACAUCAAUUGGGAUGGGGCUACUAUUGCUGGGUGAUGCCCUUCCUGUGAGGAACUUAGAGAGGUCAGAUCCGCAGAGAGGAUGGGAGAAGAGAGGACCCUUGCUUAAUAGGCUCAGAAUGACAGUUGUGUAAGAUGACAGAGCUCUGGGGAUAGAAGGUGCAUGAUGUAAUGUCCCUGAACUCUACCCCAAAAUGGUCAAGCUAGUAAACAUUAUACUCUGCAUAUUUUACUGCAAUUUGAAAAUAACAGAAUAUGGGCUGGGAAUAUAGCUCAGUUGGUAGAGUGCUUGCCUAGCAUGCACAAAACCCUCAGUUCGAUCCCCAGCACUGCACGUAACCAGGUGAAGUGGUGCAGACCCAUUCUAGCACUUGAGAAGUGGAAGCAGGAGGGUUGAAAGUCAACAUCUGAUACAACAUCAGCUGUGCUUCCUCCGUAGUUAUUUGCUGUACAUUGCCCAUGUGGCUAGAAGGACAGAGAUGCUUCUCAGGGAAGAAAGCCCUUUUCCUGGUUACUUGUGCUAUAUGGAAACAAAGCAGAAUGCCGCUUACAGAAGCGUUACUUCUUACAGAACUCACACCUGCAGAACAUGGGAACGGAGAUGGCUUGCUGGCUAAGAGUACGCACUGCUCUUUCAGAAGACUUGAAUUCAGCUCUCAUGAGAUCACAACUACCUUCAACCCAGCUCCAGAAGAUCAGACACACUUUCUCCACUUGCCAUACACCACCCCUGCCCAUGCCAUAUGAAUAAAAAUAAAAGCAAAAUCUUAAAAAUCAGAUCUAAAAUAAAGAAUUACACGUUUCCUCAAUAAAAAUUAUGGCUACUUUUUGUUUUUUAUUUUAUUUCCUCUUGAGUCUGAAUAGCAGGGACUCUGGAAAUAAAAGAUAUUGAGAUCACAGGUGAGGUCAUGGUAGAUGGUAGUACAUUAUAAAAAAACAAUUUCAAGUGAAUAAACUCUUAAAAGUCAACUGGAAUGUAGGUCUGUUGAUAAAGUGCCUGCCUGGCAUGUACAAAGCCUGGUGUUUGAUCCCAACCACUGCAAAAGUAAAAGGGAAAGAGAAGAAAAGGGAUGGGUAGAAAGGAGGAGGGAGAAGGGAGGAGGUAGGAAGAGGGAUGAGGGUGGGGGAAAGGGAGGAGGAAGGGAGGGAGGGAAAGAGAGAAUAAACAAAGCUGGUGCUUUGAUGACGCCCACUAUUUUUGACUUAGGACCUUCUCAGUGAGGGAAAUAUGAAGAAAGUUUAGAGGCAGGUACUGAUUUUGACUCUCACCGAACAAACCUCUGGGAAGGCUAUGUAUGGAAGACACUAGCUCGAAGCACAUGAUAAAAAGAAACUCAGUAACCUCACCAUAACUCCUCUCUCUGUUCAGGUAAGACACAAACCACAGUCAGCAAGAUUUACCCCUAAUGUGCUGUUCCAGCAAGUUGUACCUUGGGGAAUACUCUACUUAAAAAUGAGCCCUUCACAUCCUGAACCCU